UAGCACCAUGUAAAUUCAGCA
Molecule: microRNA, 21 nt
Filed under: Haemonchus contortus (barber pole worm)
Lineage: Eukaryota; Metazoa; Nematoda; Chromadorea; Rhabditida; Trichostrongylidae
Also listed under: 1 other name
Description: hco-miR-83
Gene: hco-miR-83
Source: miRBase by way of RNAcentral